UCCUAAUCCUGUGCUCUGGAGCGGAGAGCC
Molecule: non-coding RNA, 30 nt
Filed under: Homo sapiens (human)
Lineage: Eukaryota; Metazoa; Chordata; Mammalia; Primates; Hominidae
Source: RNAcentral